AGCCCAGAGCCUGAAUCAGUGUGUGUGUUAGUGGAAGCGUCUGGAAAGGCGCGCGAUACAGGGUGACAGCCCCGUACACAAAAAUGCACAUGCUGUGAGCUCGAUGAGUAGGGCGGGACACGUGGUAUCCUGUCUGAAUAUGGGGGGACCAUCCUCCAAGGCUAAAUACUCCUGACUGACCGAUAGUGAACCAGUACCGUGAGGGAAAGGCGAAAAGAACCCCGGCGAGGGGAGUGAAAAAGAACCUGAAACCGUGUACGUACAAGCAGUGGGAGCACAGAGCAAUCUGUGUGACUGCGUACCUUUUGUAUAAUGGGUCAGCGACUUAUAUUCUGUAGCAAGGUUAACCGAAUAGGGGAGCCGAAGGGAAACCGAGUCUUAACUGGGCGUUAAGUUGCAGGGUAUAGACCCGAAACCCGGUGAUCUAGCCAUGGGCAGGUUGAAGGUUGGGUAACACUAACUGGAGGACCGAACCGACUAAUGUUGAAAAAUUAGCGGAUGACUUGUGGCUGGGGGUGAAAGGCCAAUCAAACCGGGAGAUAGCUGGUUCUCCCCGAAAGCUAUUUAGGUAGCGCCUCGUGAAUUCAUCUCCGGGGGUAGAGCACUGUUUCGGCAAGGGGGUCAUCCCGACUUACCAACCCGAUGCAAACUGCGAAUACCGGAGAAUGUUAUCACGGGAGACACACGGCGGGUGCUAACGUCCGUCGUGAAGAGGGAAACAACCCAGACCGCCAGCUAAGGUCCCAAAGUCAUGGUUAAGUGGGAAACGAUGUGGGAAGGCCCAGACAGCCAGGAUGUUGGCUUAGAAGCAGCCAUCAUUUAAAGAAAGCGUAAUAGCUCACUGGUCGAGUCGGCCUGCGCGGAAGAUGUAACGGGGCUAAACCAUGCACCGAAGCUGCGGCAGCGACGCUUAUGCGUUGUUGGGUAGGGGAGCGUUCUGUAAGCCUGUGAAGGUGUACUGUGAGGUAUGCUGGAGGUAUCAGAAGUGCGAAUGCUGACAUAAGUAACGAUAAAGCGGGUGAAAAGCCCGCUCGCCGGAAGACCAAGGGUUCCUGUCCAACGUUAAUCGGGGCAGGGUGAGUCGACCCCUAAGGCGAGGCCGAAAGGCGUAGUCGAUGGGAAACAGGUUAAUAUUCCUGUACUUGGUGUUACUGCGAAGGGGGGACGGAGAAGGCUAUGUUGGCCGGGCGACGGUUGUCCCGGUUUAAGCGUGUAGGCUGGUUUUCCAGGCAAAUCCGGAAAAUCAAGGCUGAGGCGUGAUGACGAGGCACUACGGUGCUGAAGCAACAAAUGCCCUGCUUCCAGGAAAAGCCUCUAAGCAUCAGGUAACAUCAAAUCGUACCCCAAACCGACACAGGUGGUCAGGUAGAGAAUACCAAGGCGCUUGAGAGAACUCGGGUGAAGGAACUAGGCAAAAUGGUGCCGUAACUUCGGGAGAAGGCACGCUGAUAUGUAGGUGAAGUCCCUCGCGGAUGGAGCUGAAAUCAGUCGAAGAUACCAGCUGGCUGCAACUGUUUAUUAAAAACACAGCACUGUGCAAACACGAAAGUGGACGUAUACGGUGUGACGCCUGCCCGGUGCCGGAAGGUUAAUUGAUGGGGUCAGCGCAAGCGAAGCUCUUGAUCGAAGCCCCGGUAAACGGCGGCCGUAACUAUAACGGUCCUAAGGUAGCGAAAUUCCUUGUCGGGUAAGUUCCGACCUGCACGAAUGGCGUAAUGAUGGCCAGGCUGUCUCCACCCGAGACUCAGUGAAAUUGAACUCGCUGUGAAGAUGCAGUGUACCCGCGGCAAGACGGAAAGACCCCGUGAACCUUUACUAUAGCUUGACACUGAACAUUGAGCCUUGAUGUGUAGGAUAGGUGGGAGGCUU
This 1869-nucleotide ribosomal RNA is filed under the name Escherichia coli. Its description in RNAcentral is "partial 23S ribosomal RNA". It matches the Rfam family "Bacterial large subunit ribosomal RNA", at positions 296 to 2157 of the family's 2925-position model. Lineage: Bacteria; Pseudomonadati; Pseudomonadota; Gammaproteobacteria; Enterobacterales; Enterobacteriaceae. The record is from RNAcentral.